AACGCGAAGAACCUUACCGGGGCUUGACAUCCCGCGCUAUCCUAGGAGACUAGGUUUCCGAGCAAUCGGACGCGGAGACAGGUGCUGCAUGGCUGUCGUCAGCUCGUGCCGUGAGGUGUUGGGUUAAGUCCCGCAACGAGCGCAACCCUUGCCGUGUGUUGGUCGCAAGAUCUCUCACGCGGGACCGCCGGUGACAAGCCGGAGGAAGGUGGGGAUGACGUCAAGUCAGCAUGGCCCUUACGUCCCGGGCUACACACGUGCUACAAUGGAAUGGACAACGAGUCGCGAACCCGCGAGGGUAAGCUAAUCUCAUAAACCAUUUCUCAGUUCGGAUUGAAGGCUGCAACUCGCCUUCAUGAAGUCGGAAUCGCUAGUAACCGUAGAUCAGCUACGCUGCGGUGAAUACGUUCCCGGGCCUUGUA
Molecule: ribosomal RNA, 422 nt
Filed under: uncultured bacterium
Lineage: Bacteria
Description: bacterial SSU rRNA
Rfam family: Bacterial small subunit ribosomal RNA
Source: RNAcentral